Molecule: unclassified non-coding RNA, 342 nt
Filed under: soil metagenome
Description: partial contains 5.8S ribosomal RNA, internal transcribed spacer 2, and large subunit ribosomal RNA
Rfam family: 5.8S ribosomal RNA (bases 1-120)
Source: RNAcentral
GAUGAAGAACGUAGUGAAAUGCGAUAAGUAAUGUGAAUUGCAGAAUUCAGUGAAUCAUCGAAUCUUUGAACGCACAUUGCGCCCGCCAGCAUUCUGGCGGGCAUGCCUGUUCGAGCGUCAUUUCAACCCUCGAGCCCCCCCGGGGCCUCGGUGUUGGGGGACGGCACACCAGCCGCCCCCGAAAUGCAGUGGCGACCCCGCCGCAGCCUCCCCUGCGUAGUAGCACACACCUCGCACCGGAGCGCGGAGGCGGUCACGCCGUAAAACGCCCAACUUUCUUAGAGUUGACCUCGGAUCAGGUAGGAAUACCCGCUGAACUUAAGCAUAUCAAUAAGCGGAGGA